Molecule: long non-coding RNA, 3337 nt
Filed under: Gallus gallus (chicken)
Lineage: Eukaryota; Metazoa; Chordata; Aves; Galliformes; Phasianidae
Source: RNAcentral
CCGGACAAUUAGCUCGGUUGAAGAGAUGCAAGAAAAACCUGACUGCUGAAGUUGACCAAGUAUGUUAACAAUUUGAAUAAUUCCUGAAGUAUUGAUAUCUGUGAGCUGAUAUUUCCUUUUUUUCCCUCAACAGAAGGAUCAAAACCCAGCAGAAUGCAAGCAGCAGUGAAGCAGUGUGUAUGUGGCCUUGAGGAUUACCUGCACUGUAAUAGCCUAAACACAACUAUUAGUUACUUACAGCCUUAAAAAAUGGAAUCAAACACAUAAGAACCAGUUUAAAAUAAUUUUCUGCCAAUAUGUAGAUUGCAGUAAAUCCCCUAAAGCAUGAAUGUUAAUUCAUUGCUACAUAGUUUGGUUCUUGUGAAGAUUAUCAGAACUGUUAACCGAGACCAAUAUUUGUUUAGAGAAAGCUCUCUCCUGAAGAACCAACCAAAGUAUUUUUCAGCCCAGUAGUCUGAACGGGUUUAAGUCUGCUUGCACUAGCUGUGCCUUCAUUACUUUGUUAUAGAAAUGGCAGUGACUUGUACUAACUAGGAGAUGAUGAUGCAUCUUGAAUUUGACUACUUGAGAAGACUAGUAUAACUUGUUUAAUUUCCAAUGAGACCACAUUAAACAUUCAUAACUGUCAGCUUGUUUAUGCUAUGGGUUUUGUAUUUUAUGUGACAUAGUGAUCUACAAAAGAAACCUAGCCAUCAUAUUAAGGUUAUUGUUUACCACGGGGUGUGAAUAAAACCUAGUAUUUUCAGAAGCUAGUCUUGUUUUAUUAUGGUGUGUAUCUGCAUGUGUAAACUGAUAAGGCGUAUCUCAUGCUGCAGUUAGUUCACUAUGCUAAAACAAAAAUUGGGAAUUAUUGAAAAGUAAGUUCUAUAGCGUCUUAAAAACAGUAGUUCGGAUAGAUUUUGAUCCAUACUUUUUAAUUGCAGUGUGAUACCUGUCAAUCCGAGCUAUGUGUUUCAGUGGUUGGUCACCACUGCCAUUUUGAGAAGACAGUUGUUUUUUAGAAGUGGAACUAGGUCUGAUAAAGGACUUGGAUAUUGCCAUGCUGGAUUCUAAUAGAGAAUUGGAUUAUUAGUGUGAAAUCAGGAGCAAAGAAAGUAGUGUGGAUUUCCAGUCUGCACAGAUAGAGCUAUGUUGUCCUGAACAAAAUCUACUUUAUAACCUAAGAGACUGCUAGAACAUCAGGCUGUAUUCUGAUUUGUACUUGGUGUUAAGCAUCUAAAGAGGAGGAGCUAAACCCUAAGGAACUCCCCCUUCCUCGUCUAAUGUUCUGUUCACUGUGUGUGUUUGUAUGAUUUGGUUCAUUCGUUGUCUAUACUGGAUGCUCUCUGUCAGCUGAACCGUGGGCUAGACCUGUCUCAUUAGUUUUGUCUCUAGGAGUUCUCAAUGUGAAUUUGAAUGCAUUCAGCUUGAGGAGAUUAUGAACUGAUGUCUUUCAUGCAAGUUUUUCCCAGUCAGCAGGACACUAAUGUACUCUAGAUUCUUGUUCGUUACAGAACCAUAGAAGUUCUGACCUAAACAAGUAUGCAGAUAACUUUUUGAGGAAUGGGAAGCUCCUCAGGACAGUGGAGAAGUGUUCAGCUAGCUGUGGAUGUGUUUCUACAAUAGCUACUCUUUGCCACUAAUAUAAUGAGGUAGGCAUGAAGGGUUAAGGGACUAAAAAGAGCAGGACAAGCAAGAGGCAAACAGCUAUGUCAGAAAGAGGUUGUGGAGGCCAAGUUAAUCUUGCAAGUUUCUUGCUUAGAGGAUAGGUAAUACGUAACGAAACUUAGCCCAAGUGCUCUUCUUAAUCCUCAGCCCUCUGCAAGGAGGAUGGUCUAGUGUGCUCAAAACUGUUUUAUUUUUGGUAUCUUGAAUACUGUAGUGAUUAAUUACAGAAUUCUUGUCAGAUGUCAUCUUUCGCCUCACCAGAUACCUAUGGAUUUGGGGAAAGGAACCCUUGUUAUCUAUAGCUGUAUAGAAAACAAAUGUCAAAGCUGUGCUCUUAAAUGUUUUUCUGAUAACCUAUACAUCAUAGUAUAGAAAAAUAUAAAAACAGGAGGUGAACUACACUAUCUCUAGUAGUUGUGUCUUAAAGUAGAUGGGGUUGUGGUCUUGUGAUAACAUUAAUCCUGAUAGAAUGUGCAUAUCCUUUCAGACACUGCUGCCAGGUGUCUCACUUGGCUAUCUUUUUCUCUCUUUGAAUGUCUCCCAGGAUUGAGUUAAAACCAAGCACUGUUUGUUUCGACUUGAACUUCAGGGUAUGCAGAGACCAAACUGAUAUUUAGCAGUUACUAAGGAAGGGCUUUGAGGUUCAUACUUCUGGAGCUAAGUAUCUGAAGUCCUUACUUAAAUCUAGCCCAUUUUUCUAACAGUACCUGGCAACAGUCUCCUGGAAGGAGAAAGCACUGUAGGAAGUCCUCUGACACACUUCAAGCUGUUGUUCUUAUGAAAUGUGGUUUGUAUUUAAAUUGCUUUCCAAAUUGCUAUCUUACACAAUGUGAUACAGUAUUUGAAAAGAGGAGUUGAUAAAUGUUAAAGAUCAUCUGUGGACUGCAAAAUCCAGAGCUAUGAAUGCAUGUCUGUGGACAGUUUUUGGUAAGCUGCUCUCUACACUGACUAGCUAGUUCUUGGGCUCAAGUUUGAAGUGCCAGUCCCUGAGGUAUUGGUUUAAUAACUGCUUUGAUGGUUCACACAGUUUCAUGAUCAACAACACUCCUGUUUAGCAGUUCUGAAAGGCAGUAUGGAGCAGGAACGUUAAACUUUCUGCAAUGAUUCGAGCAUUGUGACUCAUUCUUGUCACUUCCUGUGGAUUUAUACCAGCUGUAGGGAAUCUAUUUAUUUAGUAUUCCAGGAGAUUACCUUGUUACCUAACUAGUUCAGGUUAGGAAAAAGUGUCACCAGAAAUUGAAUUUCUUCAUGAGUUGUUGCAAUGCUACACUAGAACUUGAGAUGAGGGUUUUCUGUCCUCUUCUGGUGACUAAGCAGGCUGCGGCUCAUUAUUUCUACACUUCUGGCAACUGUAAGUUAGAUUGUCUGACUUUUCUUAUUGAACUCUUCUAUAACUAGCUUGAUAAGCUUAGAUUUCUUAAUUGGAUUAUUGGAACCGAUGUUUCCCAAGCUAUGUAGCAAAUAGCUUAACUUUUUAAGGUUUUAAGGUUUUAACUAAGUGAAAACGCAGCAGAAUGUGAGAAACUGCAGGAAUGUAAUGUUUUCAUCUUUGCCUUCAAACUGAUAUUUAAACUUUCCCUCUGUUUUAAGUCCCAUUGUUGUAGGCUUUGUUCAUAAAUUAAUAGAGCAUGAGAGCUAAUCAUCAGUUUGUAUGUCUACCCAGUAGUUUUUCUAUUCAGAAAUGUCUGUG